Molecule: ribosomal RNA, 439 nt
Filed under: uncultured bacterium
Lineage: Bacteria
Description: partial 16S ribosomal RNA
Rfam family: Bacterial small subunit ribosomal RNA
Source: RNAcentral
CUACGGGUUGCAGCAGUGAGGAAUAUUGCACAAUGGGGGAAACCCUGAUGCAGCAACGCCGCGUGGAGGAUGACGCAUUUCGGUGUGUAAACUCCUUUUAUAUGUCAAGAAAAUGACGGUAGCAUAUGAAUAAGCACCGGCUAACUCCGUGCCAGCAGCCGCGGUAAUACGGAGGGUGCAAGCGUUACUCGGAAUCACUGGGCGUAAAGGACGCGUAGGCGGGUUGGUAAGUCAGGUGUGAAAUCCUACAGCUUAACUGUAGAACUGCACUUGAAACUACCAACCUAGAGUAUGGGAGGGGGAGAUGGAAUUAGUGGUGUAGGGGUAAAAUCCGUAGAUAUCACUAGGAAUACCGAAAGCGAAGGCGAUCUCCUGGAACAUAACUGACGCUAAGGCGUAAAAGCGUGGGGAGCAAACAGGAUUAGAUACCCCCGUAGUC